This 597-nucleotide long non-coding RNA is filed under the name Salvia miltiorrhiza (redroot sage). RNAcentral's name for it is "long non-coding RNA (SMIL_LNC005945)". Lineage: Eukaryota; Viridiplantae; Streptophyta; Magnoliopsida; Lamiales; Lamiaceae. The record is from RNAcentral.
UCAGUUUGAUCGAUUCAGUCCUCCCUUCUCAUGUAAUUAGCUCGUCUUGAUAUUCCAUUAAAUCCUUUGAUUUGAAGGGCUGAAUAUGAUAUCUUUCAGGUCAAAACAAGCUGGAAAAGAAUUUAACACUAGACUAAAACUUAACAAGGAAGAGACCAAAAACUUGAUGAAAUUAAUUUCAUCAUUACAUAGUGGUGAGAGUACUCAACUUAUAACUAACAUUAUUUGAUCUACAACUGUGUUUAAUAUGGUUAGUAAAUUACUAGGGCUCUCUUGAAAUGAUGAUUUUGGGUUUGAAUAAAAUUUGGCGAAGCAGAAGAUUUCCAAAAACCUAAUAAAUCCUUGAUAUAAAACCAUCAUAACCACACGUGAAUUUGAACAUUAUUCUAAUCUACGGAGAAGGAAAAAAGUUACCUUUUGUGCUUUUUCUUCUCGUCUUUGCUCGUCUAGAUCGACUUUCUGAUUCAAUCCUGUCUUCUUCCCAUAAAACCUUUGAUUUGAAUGGUAGAAUAUGAUACUAUGUUUCAUGCCAAAACAAAACCAUGAAAUGAAUAUUUUAAGCUAGACUUUAAACUAAACAAGGAAGAGAUCCUUCCG